CUUGACUGCACUUCAUUAUGCAUCUGCUUAUGGACACAGGAACAUCGUUUCAAUUUUACUUGACAAUGGCUUCAACUUAAAUGCAUUAACACUAGAUGUAAGUACUGUGUCUAUGUAAAAAGAGGGAAAUAUCAGAGUGUCUUUCAACAACUGAAAAAAGUACAAUACCAUGGCAAAAAACAAAAAAUGAGGAAAAAAGACGAAGAAGGCCGCAAACAAGAGAAAAUAAAAAAAUGCGAAAAA
Molecule: long non-coding RNA, 243 nt
Filed under: Mytilus galloprovincialis (Mediterranean mussel)
Lineage: Eukaryota; Metazoa; Mollusca; Bivalvia; Mytilida; Mytilidae
Source: RNAcentral